This 23-nucleotide non-coding RNA is filed under the name Cricetulus griseus (Chinese hamster). The record is from RNAcentral. Lineage: Eukaryota; Metazoa; Chordata; Mammalia; Rodentia; Cricetidae.
UCUGAGGAGUCACGCAGCUCACA